Corchorus olitorius is the source of this 112-nucleotide non-coding RNA. The record is from Rfam. NCBI's taxonomy places the organism in Eukaryota, Viridiplantae, Streptophyta, Magnoliopsida, Malvales, Malvaceae.
CUAAUACUCCUUCCGUUCCAAAAUAACUGUCGUUUUUGGGAUGAAUGUGGCCCUAAAUAAGACCACAUUCAUCCAAAAAACGACAGAUAUUUUGGAACGGAGGGAGUAUAAA